AUUGAACGCUGGCGGCAGGCCUAACACAUGCAAGUCGAGCGCGAAAGUUCUUCGGAAUGAGUGAAGCGGCGGACGGGUGAGUAAUGCAUGGGAAUCUGCCUGGUAGUGGGGGACAACGUCUCGAAAGGGACGCUAAUACCGCAUACGCCCUACGGGGGUUAGGGGGGGUUCUUCGGGCUCCUCGCUCUCAGAUGAGCUUAUGCCAGGUAAGGUAGUUGGCGGGGUAAAGGCCUAACAAGGCGACGAUCUGUAACUGGUCAGAGAAGAUGAUCAGUGACACUGAAACUGAGAGACGUUUCAGAGACCAACGAGAGGCAGCACCGGGGAAUAUUGCGCAAUGGCAGAAAGUCUGAUCAAGCCCGGCAACGUGUGUAAAGAAAGCCUGAGGGUUGUAAAGCACUUCCGGUGGGGAGAAAGGGUGUUUACUUAAAACAUAGGCAGAUGGAUGUUACCCACAGGAGAAGCAACGGCUAAGACCGU
RNAcentral lists this ribosomal RNA (480 nucleotides) under uncultured bacterium. Its description in RNAcentral is "partial 16S ribosomal RNA". It matches the Rfam family "Bacterial small subunit ribosomal RNA", at positions 29 to 506 of the family's 1533-position model. The record is from RNAcentral.